AAAAAAUGCAAGGAAGAAAAAUAUUGGAUGCCACAUGAAAGAAAUAUAUUUCCAACCAUCAAGAAAAAUCAAUUUAAACAUAUCUGUAAGAAAUCUGAGAAAUGAUUUAAGAAGACAGUCUUAUUACAAAGCUUUUAUACCUCAGACAAUAGAGAAACUGAAUCCUCCAGUUAACGUCUCAAUUUCUCUUGAAAACAGAAGUGUUAAAAUUCACUGGAAACCCCCGCCUACUAUUGGUUCUGCAAGUAACAAGUGCUUUAUGUAUCAAGUGAAAAUUACAGAUCGUAAGCCCAUAGAUGUCUCUGAAGAGAAAUAUGAGUAUCCAUUCCAUAAGCCACCAUACAAAUGUGUGGCACAAGUGAGGGCAAAGAAAGAGAAAUGCAUAAGAAACAAAAUUUGGAGUGAAUGGAGUGAACCAGUGUUUAUUGAUGAUGAAAAGACAGUGGACAUCACGUUGCUCGUCCUCACCUUGUUUUGUCUCCUGGUUUUCCUUGGUUGUUUGCUGACAUGUGCAUGUCGAAGGUACAGAUGCCUGGAAGCUAUAACCAUGCCUGUCCCACAGGCCUCAGAUAGUAUCAAAACUUGGUUAGCUGCAGAAGAGACUCACCACCAG
This 613-nucleotide long non-coding RNA is filed under the name Apteryx owenii (little spotted kiwi). Its description in RNAcentral is "lncRNA (ENSAOWG00000007435.1)". The record is from RNAcentral. Lineage: Eukaryota; Metazoa; Chordata; Aves; Apterygiformes; Apterygidae.